RNAcentral lists this ribosomal RNA (590 nucleotides) under Papiliotrema flavescens. Its description in RNAcentral is "partial large subunit ribosomal RNA". It matches the Rfam family "Eukaryotic large subunit ribosomal RNA", at positions 78 to 657 of the family's 3401-position model. The record is from RNAcentral. Lineage: Eukaryota; Fungi; Basidiomycota; Tremellomycetes; Tremellales; Rhynchogastremaceae.
CCCUAGUAACGGCGAGUGAACCGGGAAGAGCUCAAAUUUGAAAUCUGGCGUGCUCAGUGCGUCCGAGUUGUAAUCUAUAGAGUCGUUUUCCGUGCCGGACUGUGUCCAAGUCCCUUGGAACAGGGUAUCAAAGAGGGUGAUAAUCCCGUACUUGACACAAUGACCGGUGCUCUGUGAUACGUCUUCUACGAGUCGAGUUGUUUGGGAAUGCAGCUCAAAAUGGGUGGUGAGUUCCAUCUAAAGCUAAAUAUUGGCGAGAGACCGAUAGCGAACAAGUACCGUGAGGGAAAGAUGAAAAGCACUUUGGAAAGAGAGUUAAACAGUACGUGAAAUUGUUAAAAGGGAAACGAUUGAAGUCAGUCGUGACUGAGAGGCUCAGCCGGUUCUGCCGGUGUAUUCCCCUCAGUCGGGUCAACAUCAGUUUUGUUCGGUGGAUAAGGGCAGUUGGAAGGUGGCACCCUCGGGUGUGUUAUAGCCAGCUGUCGCAUACAUCGGAUGAGACUGAGGAAUGCAGCUCGCCUUUAUGGCCGGGGUUCGCCCACGUUCGAGCUUAGGAUGUUGACAUAAUGGCUUUAAACGACCCGUCUUGA